UGUUGUCUAUAGGGACUUUUAAUCCACUGUGUCCUAAAGAAAUUUUAAUUUCUGUAAAGAGCAGAUAUUUUUUUUGCUGUAGAUUUCCUAGCUGAUUUCCUUUUUUUUUUUUUUCUUUAUAGAAAGAAGACUUCUGCACUGAACCCUUGCCAAGAAUCUGGCCAGCUCUGCUAGAUGGCCAGCAGGGGCGUGUCUGGAAAAAAUGCAUAAUGAAUGAUUUGACAGUUUUUGACUGCGGACUUAUGAAGAUAACAAGGAAAAUUAAUUUUUUAUGGAGAGUAGACUUUUAUUUUUAGAGCAUUAAUAAAGUGAAAGCAAAAUGU
This 323-nucleotide long non-coding RNA is filed under the name Coturnix japonica (Japanese quail). RNAcentral describes it as "lncRNA (ENSCJPG00005010582.1)". Lineage: Eukaryota; Metazoa; Chordata; Aves; Galliformes; Phasianidae. The record is from RNAcentral.